CUUACUUUGCCACCGGGUAAAGAUAUUUAGGUGUUCGAGGCAUUCCGUUAGGUCUUAGAAGGAAUGCUUGGGGCACUUUUUUAUUU
This 86-nucleotide non-coding RNA is filed under the name unclassified sequences. The record is from RNAcentral.